This 253-nucleotide ribosomal RNA is filed under the name uncultured bacterium. RNAcentral's name for it is "partial 16S ribosomal RNA". It matches the Rfam family "Bacterial small subunit ribosomal RNA", at positions 524 to 776 of the family's 1533-position model. The record is from RNAcentral.
GACGUAGGGCGCGAGCGUUGUCCGGAUUUAUUGGGCGUAAAGAGCUCGUAGGCGGCUUGUCGCGUCGUCCGUGAAAACCUGGGGCUCAACUCCAGGCUUGCGGUCGAUACGGGCAGGCUCGAGUUCGGUAGGGGAGACUGGAAUUCCUGGUGUAGCGGUGAAAUGCGCAGAUAUCAGGAAGAACACCCGUGGCUAAGGCGGUUCUCUAGUACGGUACUGACGCUGAGACGCGAAAGCGUGGGGAGCGAACAGG